RNAcentral lists this ribosomal RNA (497 nucleotides) under uncultured bacterium. Its description in RNAcentral is "partial 16S ribosomal RNA". It matches the Rfam family "Bacterial small subunit ribosomal RNA", at positions 28 to 507 of the family's 1533-position model. The record is from RNAcentral.
GAUGAACGCUGGCGGCGUGCCUAAUACAUGCAAGUCGAGCGAACAGACGAGGAGCUUGCUCCUCUGACGUUAGCGGCGGACGGGUGAGUAACACGUGGAUAACCUACCUAUAAGACUGGGAUAACUUCGCGAAACCGGAGCUAAUACCGGAUAACAUGUUGAACCGCAUGGUUCAACAGUGAAAGACGGUCUUGCUGUCACUUAUAGAUGGAUCCGCGCCGCAUUAGCUAGUUGGUAAGGUAACGGCUUACCAAGGCAACGAUGCGUAGCCGACCUGAGAGGGUGAUCGGCCACACUGGAACUGAGACACGGUCCAGACUCCUACGGGAGGCAGCAGUAGGGAAUCUUCCGCAAUGGGCGAAAGCCUGACGGAGCAACGCCGCGUGAGUGAUGAAGGUCUUCGGAUCGUAAAACUCUGUUAUUAGGGAAGAACAAAUGUGUAAGUAACUAUGCACGUCUUGACGGUACCUAAUCAGAAAGCCACGGCUAACUACGUG